Molecule: ribosomal RNA, 253 nt
Filed under: uncultured bacterium
Lineage: Bacteria
Description: partial 16S ribosomal RNA
Rfam family: Bacterial small subunit ribosomal RNA
Source: RNAcentral
UACGGGGGGGGCAAGCGUUGUUCGGAAUUACUGGGCGUAAAGGGCUCGUAGGCGGCCAACUAAGUCAGACGUGAAAUCCCUCGGCUUAACCGGGGAACUGCGUCUGAUACUGGAUGGCUUGAGUUUGGGAGAGGGAUGCGGAAUUCCAGGUGUAGCGGUGAAAUGCGUAGAUAUCUGGAAGAACACCUAUGGCGAAGGCAGCUCUCUGGGACGGUACUGACGCUGAGACGCGAAAGCGUGGGGAGCGAACAGG